RNAcentral lists this ribosomal RNA (241 nucleotides) under uncultured bacterium. Its description in RNAcentral is "partial 16S ribosomal RNA". It matches the Rfam family "Bacterial small subunit ribosomal RNA", at positions 113 to 354 of the family's 1533-position model. The record is from RNAcentral.
CGACGUGAGGGAACCUGCCUUUCAGAGGGGGACAACAGUUGGAACGACUGCUAAUACCGCAUAACACAUAGGUGUCGCAUGGCAUUUAUGUCAAAGAUUUAUCGCUGAAAGAUGGCCUCGCGUCUGAUUAGCUAGUUGGUGAGGUAACGGCUCACCAAGGCGACGAUCAGUAGCCGGACUGAGAGGUUGGCCGGCCACAUUGGGACUGAGAUACGGCCCUGACUCCUACGGAAGGCAGCAG